Molecule: non-coding RNA, 23 nt
Filed under: Cricetulus griseus (Chinese hamster)
Lineage: Eukaryota; Metazoa; Chordata; Mammalia; Rodentia; Cricetidae
Source: RNAcentral
GUGAACAGCGCAGAUGAUGGGCA